AAGAGCAGAAGCUUGCAGAGCUCUCCUGUGUUCCCAUUGGUAGGGACGCUCAGUGACAUCACAACCAUGGAAGACAGAGCAGCUUUGGUCAACUGAGAAGCAGAACCGGCAUCCUCAGAGUCUCCAGCCGUCUGCGCCUGGAACAGGGUGUAAAGAUUGCCGCAAACCGUGACAGCAUGUAUGUCCCAUCCACAACAGGAUACGCAAAGUAGUACAUGGAACGAAACUGAGCCCGGAGACCUCGGUCUUGAAAU
Hyaena hyaena (striped hyena) is the source of this 254-nucleotide long non-coding RNA. RefSeq lists it as uncharacterized. The transcript is spliced from 3 exons. NCBI's taxonomy places the organism in Eukaryota, Metazoa, Chordata, Mammalia, Carnivora, Hyaenidae. The record is from RefSeq and is a predicted model, not a curated record.